This 689-nucleotide long non-coding RNA is filed under the name Rattus norvegicus (Norway rat). RNAcentral describes it as "long non-coding RNA NONRATT000683". The record is from RNAcentral. Lineage: Eukaryota; Metazoa; Chordata; Mammalia; Rodentia; Muridae.
CCAUUCUUGUGACCGAUGCUGGCAUCACAGAUGCAGGUCUUCUUGAGAAUUAUGGGAUGUGGAAGGGCACCACAGGAUGCUGGGAUACACACAAUAUAGGAAAAUUCACAGGCACCAGGGGACAGUAUUUGAGGUGUGAUUCAGCUUGCAGGGACACAGGCCAGAGCAUUAGGGACACUCACAGGCUUCUUGCCAGAUGGAGUUGGGGAGACGAGUGAAUUGUGAAAUUCCCCGGGGCUAAUUCCCAAACUCAAGGCCUGAUGGGUUACUUUGGGUGGUAUGCGGGCUCCGUGGGACCCUGCCCCUUGCCCUCCGCGACCCAGCUCCCCCUCCACCCCCAGCCCAGUCCAGUAAGCCCAGCGGCGCCUACACUCCUCUCCCCAGGAGCUGGAGCGCCAGGCCUUGGCCAAACACGUCAGGGCAGAGGCCCUGAGCUCCACCCUUCGGCUGGCCCAAGACGAAGCCGUUCGGGCCAAGAACCUACUGCUGACGGACAAGAUGAAGCCGGAGGAGAAGGUGGCCACUUUGGACUAUAUGCAUUUGAAGAUGUGUUCCCUCCACGACCAACUCAGCCACCUGCCACUUGAGGGGUCCACAGGGGCAAUGGGGGGAGGAAGCACUGGAGGGGCUCCCCCUAAACGUGGGGGUCCAGGCUCUGAACAAUAAAUGGCCUCUCAUGCUGGCAUGAA